UACGAAGGGUGCAAGCGUUAAUCGGAAUUACUGGGCGUAAAGCGUGCGUAGGUGGUUUGUUAAGUCCGAUGUGAACGCCAUGGGCUCAACCUGGGAAUGGCAUUGGAUACUGGCGAGCUAGAGUGCGGUAGAGGGGUGCGGAAUUCCCGGUGUAGCGGUGAAAUGCGUAGAGAUCGGGAGGAACAUCCGUGGCGAAGGCGGCACCCUGGACCAGCACUGACACUGAGUCACGAAAGCGUGGGGAGCAAACAGG
RNAcentral lists this unclassified non-coding RNA (253 nucleotides) under uncultured Lysobacterales bacterium. RNAcentral's name for it is "uncultured Xanthomonadales bacterium contains 16S-23S intergenic spacer region". It matches the Rfam family "Bacterial small subunit ribosomal RNA", at positions 524 to 776 of the family's 1533-position model. Lineage: Bacteria; Pseudomonadati; Pseudomonadota; Gammaproteobacteria; Lysobacterales. The record is from RNAcentral.